RNAcentral lists this ribosomal RNA (487 nucleotides) under uncultured bacterium. RNAcentral describes it as "partial 16S ribosomal RNA". It matches the Rfam family "Bacterial small subunit ribosomal RNA", at positions 28 to 507 of the family's 1533-position model. The record is from RNAcentral.
GAUGAACGCUAGCGAUAGGCUUAACACAUGCAAGUCGAGGGGCAGCACAAGGUAGCUUGCUAUCUGGGUGGCGACCGGCGCACGGGUGCGUAACGCGUAUGCAACUUUCCCUAUACAGGAGGAUAACCCGUCGAAAGACGGACUAAUACUGCGUAUGCUCACAACUUGGCAUCAAGUGGUGAGGAAAGAAAUUCGGUAUAGGAUAGGCAUGCGUCCCAUUAGCUUGUUGGUGAGGUAACGGCUCACCAAGUCAACGAUGGGUAGGGGAACUGAGAGGUUUCUCCCCCACACUGGUACUGAGACACGGACCAGAAUCCUACGGGAGGCAGCAGUGAGGAAUAUUGGUCAAUGGGCGCGAGCCUGAACCAGCCAAGUCGCGUGAAGGAUGACUGUGUUAGGGAUUGUAACCUUCUUUUAUAAGGGCAUAACAAGAGUCACGUGUGACUCCCUGAAUGUACCGUAUGAAUAAGCAUCGGCUAACUCCGUG